GCGCGAAAACUUUACAAUGCGGGCAACCGUGAUAAGGGAACCUCGAGUGCCUGUACAUGCAGGCUGUCUGGGUGUCUAAAACACACCCAAAGAAAGGGCCGGGCAAGACCGGUGCCAGCCGCCGCGGUAAUACCGGCGGCUCGAGUGGUGGCCACUUUUAUUGGGCUUAAAGCGUUCGUAGCUGGGUUGUUAAGUCUCUUGGGAAAUCUGGCAGCUUAACUGUCAGGCGUCUAAGAGAUACUGGCAAUCUAGGAACCGGGAGAGGUGAGGGGUACUUCGGGGGUAGGA
Molecule: ribosomal RNA, 288 nt
Filed under: uncultured Methanoculleus sp.
Lineage: Archaea; Methanobacteriati; Methanobacteriota; Methanomicrobia; Methanomicrobiales; Methanomicrobiaceae
Description: partial 16S ribosomal RNA
Rfam family: Archaeal small subunit ribosomal RNA
Source: RNAcentral